AAGGAUUUAAGAUCAAUGUCUACUUGUGUCAAGUACAAGUAUUUAAUUGAUUAUCCUUGGAGCUCAAGACAACUGAUGUUCUUAAAGAUGUUGGAACAUCUCUUCUUCAAGACCCUGUGUAGAAUCACAGGAAGGAUAGUACAUUGGCUUAGGAUCUAUCUCUUUGGUGGCAGCAAAAGCGUAUGAUCUCUGAAAAGGUUUCAUGGCAAGAAACUUGUACAGCCUCAGUGUGUACGAGAAGAAGAAGACAUCAUAG
This 256-nucleotide long non-coding RNA is filed under the name Lathyrus oleraceus (garden pea). RNAcentral's name for it is "Pisum sativum (pea) long non-coding RNA (PSAT_LNC006217)". Lineage: Eukaryota; Viridiplantae; Streptophyta; Magnoliopsida; Fabales; Fabaceae. The record is from RNAcentral.